GAUGAAGAACGCAGCGAAAUGCGAUAAGUAAUGUGAAUUGCAGAAUUCAGUGAACCAUCGAAUCUUUGAACGCACAUUGCGCCCGCCAGUAUUCUGGCGGGCAUGCCUGUCCGAGCGUCAUCUCAACCCUCGAGCCCCCCCGGGGGCUCGGCGUUGGGGACCGGCCCCGCCCCAGGGCGCGCCGCCCCCCAAAUCCAGUGGCGGUCCCGCCGCAGCCUCCCCUGCGCAGUAGCUUGCACACUCGCACCGGGGAGCGGCGCGGCCACGCCGUAAAACCCCCCGACCACGGAGCCCCGGCUCCUGAACGUUGACCUCGGAUCAGGUAGGAAUACCCGCUGAACUUAAGCAUAUCAAUAAGCGGAGGA
This 365-nucleotide unclassified non-coding RNA is filed under the name soil metagenome. Its description in RNAcentral is "partial contains 5.8S ribosomal RNA, internal transcribed spacer 2, and large subunit ribosomal RNA". The stretch from base 1 to 120 matches the Rfam family "5.8S ribosomal RNA", at positions 35 to 154 of the family's 154-position model. The record is from RNAcentral.